AACGCUAUUUCCAAAUUCUAGAGGUGCGUAAACGGCGUUUACGUGCGUUUACCCUCCACCACAGCCCUGGUUCCUGUAUUCCAGUAAACUUAGGUACGGGUCCAUCUGCUGUGUGUGUGCUUUGUCCAUGAGGGCUUUGACGGUCUGAACAGUCUUUUCAGCCAAAUCAUUACUCUGUGGGUACUUGUGGUAUGCUCAAAUUCCCAAGCAUGAGAAAAACCUCUGACCUCUUGUGAACUGUAACGAUGUCCAUUGGCACUGAUUACUGUGUGGGGUAUUACAAAUCUGGCAAACAUGGAUUUCAGCUUUUUGACAGUUGGGGAUGUGAGGCUGGUACCUCAAAGUACCUGCUAUAAUAGUCAGUACUGUGCCAGGUGAACAAAUCUGUGGCUACUGUUUGCCAAUGUAGCCAGUGAGGAAAUGUCCCUCAUGUAAUACCAUAGGUUUAAGCCCCUCCCACUUCCUGGUUCACCAAUUAGUAUGGGUACAAAGGCUCCAUUUUUACGACACUACAGGAGCGCGCUGUCUUCCUGUGUUGGAGUCUGGUUUUGACAACCUGUUUUGAGCUGGUACGUAGUUUUUAUCCGUGUUACCUGAGGUUUUUCAGGUGGUGAAACCUCUGGAGCCAGGGGGUGCAGUGUACGUUGUUGCCCCACAAAAGACAGCCAACAGAGGUACGAUAUCUUAACUGUGCCAUGUUAAAACCUGUACCUGUUUUGAAUUGUGACCCUACCUCUAUAGAUGCUCCAUACCCCACUGCAACAAACCCUAACAUCGAGGAGCAUGACCUGUGGUCAAUGGUUGGGCCUGCAGCUAGCCCGAAGAACUCCCGGCAUAGUAGAGGACAGACCCCACCUCUGGGAGCCCAGCACCCCACAGGAUCAGGUGCAACUUUGCAGGAGCCACUCGCAGGCCUUAGUUCCUCUCCGACCACUGUUCCUGAGGGGGUAAAAAAGUCUACCCGUGAGACAGCUGGCCAACAUUCAAACCCGUAUCAUUUGCGAGGGAGUGCGUGGGGCUGGCAUCAGCGUGGCUACCUGGAUGGUGGUAGGGCUGGUUGGACUGGACCUCUCACUUUCUCUUUUUCUUGCCUGUUUUAGAUUUAACUUGUUUUGCGUGAGUGUGGAUGCGGCACAGGAGGGAGUGAGGGCCUUGUCCUAGAGCCUGUCCCCCCUCUUUUCCCCUUCUCAGCCCGCUGCAGCCUACGGCCCCAAUAGAAUCGCAUUUGUUUAUUAAAACCUUUCUUUUUUUUGUUCUUUGACAACAUUCCUAGAGCUGAUGGGAAUUAUUGAAAUAAUUUGUUUCGUACCUUUUUGAUAUUUUAAGAAACUAAAAUAAAUAUUGUACUCUGA
Gasterosteus aculeatus aculeatus (three-spined stickleback) is the source of this 1352-nucleotide long non-coding RNA. RefSeq lists it as uncharacterized. The record is from RefSeq and is a predicted model, not a curated record. Lineage: Eukaryota; Metazoa; Chordata; Actinopteri; Perciformes; Gasterosteidae.